RNAcentral lists this transfer RNA (86 nucleotides) under Felis catus (domestic cat). It matches the Rfam family "tRNA". From Rfam's summary of the family: Transfer RNA (tRNA) molecules are approximately 80 nucleotides in length. Their secondary structure includes four short double-helical elements and three loops (D, anti-codon, and T loops). Further hydrogen bonds mediate the characteristic L-shaped molecular structure. tRNAs have two regions of fundamental functional importance: the anti-codon, which is responsible for specific mRNA codon recognition, and the 3' end, to which the tRNAs corresponding amino acid is attached (by aminoacyl-tRNA synthetases). tRNAs cope with the degeneracy of the genetic code in two manners: having more than one tRNA (with a specific anti-codon) for a particular amino acid; and 'wobble' base-pairing, i.e. permitting non-standard base-pairing at the 3rd anti-codon position. The record is from Rfam by way of RNAcentral. Lineage: Eukaryota; Metazoa; Chordata; Mammalia; Carnivora; Felidae.
GCCUGGGUGGCUCAGUCGGUUGAGCGUCCGACUUCGGCUCAGGUCACGAUCUCAACGGCUCGUGGGUUCGAGCCCCGCGUCAGGUU